Molecule: long non-coding RNA, 621 nt
Filed under: Dromaius novaehollandiae (emu)
Lineage: Eukaryota; Metazoa; Chordata; Aves; Casuariiformes; Dromaiidae
Description: lncRNA (ENSDNVG00000014667.1)
Source: RNAcentral
AUGAUGAGACUGGUGACCUCUGCCCAGCAGGCCACUUCUGCCCACCAGGUAGCAGCAAGCCAAAGCUGUGUCCCRCUGGCACGUUUUUACCUCAGUCUGGGAUGGUUUUUCAUAAUGCCUGUCUGCCCUGCCCUGGAGGGAAGUUCUGCCAAGGAGAGGGUCUGGCCAGUGUUUCUGGAAUAUGUUACGCUGGGUAUUUCUGUGAUGUUGGAUCCACURAGCCAAAUCAUAAGCGCUGCCCCCCUGGCUCCUACUGCCCUGAAGGCUCUGAAUCCCCAGUCCCGUGCAGCCCAGGAAGCUUCAACUCUGACAGUGGAAAAUGGCAGUCAACGGACUGUCAGCUCUGCCCAGCUGGAUACUUCUGCAGUGGUUUUGGAGCACAUACUCCUGAGCUGUGCCCUCGUGGGUACUUCUGUCUGCCAGGUACCAACUUCAGUACAGAGCAUCCGUGUCCAAAAGGUACCUUUGGCCCCAGGGCUGGUGCCACUAGUGAGUCGGACUGUGAGCCCUGCCCAGCAGGCAUGUAUUGCUCAGCAGCAGGUCUAUCACAGCCUUCUGGGUUUUGCCACUCAGGUUAUCAUUGCACCAAGGGAGCCRUCAGCCCAGCCCCCUUCGAACACA